CAGCGUCCUGGAGCUUUUCAGCGACAGGCCAGAGGCUCCGGCUGCUGAUGGGGACAGAAGACUGAAUCUACACCACGGAUCUCCCAGAAGCCUCCUCCACCCCCUGCUGAAGGACACCACAGACUACAGAAGUAUCCUAAAGGU
This is a long non-coding RNA of Sphaeramia orbicularis (orbiculate cardinalfish), 144 nucleotides long. RefSeq lists it as uncharacterized. The record is from RefSeq and is a predicted model, not a curated record. The transcript is spliced from 4 exons. NCBI's taxonomy places the organism in Eukaryota, Metazoa, Chordata, Actinopteri, Kurtiformes, Apogonidae.